Molecule: ribosomal RNA, 471 nt
Filed under: Streptococcus sp. oral taxon C65
Lineage: Bacteria; Bacillati; Bacillota; Bacilli; Lactobacillales; Streptococcaceae
Description: bacterial SSU rRNA
Rfam family: Bacterial small subunit ribosomal RNA
Source: RNAcentral
GACGAACGCUGGCGGCGUGCCUAAUACAUGCAAGUAGAACGCUGAAGAGAGGAGCUUGCUCUUCUUGGAUGAGUUGCGAACGGGUGAGUAACGCGUAGGUAACCUGCCUUGUAGCGGGGGAUAACUAUUGGAAACGAUAGCUAAUACCGCAUAACAAUGGAUGACACAUGUCAUUUAUUUGAAAGGGGCAAUUGCUCCACUACAAGAUGGACCUGCGUUGUAUUAGCUAGUAGGUGAGGUAACGGCUCACCUAGGCGACGAUACAUAGCCGACCUGAGAGGGUGAUCGGCCACACUGGGGCUGAGACACGGCCCAGACUCCUACGGGAGGCAGCAGUAGGGAAUCUUCGGCAAUGGGGGCAACCCUGACCGAGCAACGCCGCGUGAGUGAAGAAGGCUUUCGGAUCGUAAAGCUCGGUUGUAAGUCAAGAACGAGUGUGAGAGUGGAAAGUUCACACUGUGACGGUAGCUU